Molecule: long non-coding RNA, 300 nt
Filed under: Elaeis guineensis (African oil palm)
Lineage: Eukaryota; Viridiplantae; Streptophyta; Magnoliopsida; Arecales; Arecaceae
Description: long non-coding RNA (EGUI_LNC057885)
Source: RNAcentral
UCUAUAAUAUGAUCCAGAUUUGAUGUCAUCAAAUCUGAUUCUGUGGAUUCACUAGAUUGUAUCGGUUCUACCAAUUGAACUUUAUCAAGUUCAACUUUAGAGGCAUUAAUUUCUUUCUCAAGAAUUUUUUUUUUCCAAAAAAACUACGUUAAGGCUGACGAACACAUUUUGUUUAUCAACAAGAUAGAAAUAAUAUCUUUUAAUUUUUUUGGAUAUCCUAUGAAAAUAUACUUGUCAGACUUGGCUCUGAGUUUGUCUAUUUUUAAUCAUUUGACAUAAGUCAGACAUCCCCAAACCCUU